Molecule: unclassified non-coding RNA, 502 nt
Filed under: uncultured Pacispora
Lineage: Eukaryota; Fungi; Glomeromycota; Glomeromycetes; Diversisporales; Pacisporaceae
Description: SSU rRNA
Rfam family: Eukaryotic small subunit ribosomal RNA
Source: RNAcentral
CCAAUAGCGUAUAUUAAAGUUGUUGCAGUUAAAAAGCUCGUAGUUGAAUUUCGGAAUUCUUUUAUCGGUUGAAUCAACAGGUUCGUACUGAUUUUAAGAAUUUCUACCUUCUGGAGAACCUUAAUGUCAUUUAUUUGGUGUUUUGGGGAACCAGGACUGUUACCUUGAAAAAAUUAGAGUGUUUAAAGCAGGCUUAUGUCUGAAUAUAUUAGCAUGGAAUAAUGAAAUAGGACGGCAUGGUUCUAUUUUGUUGGUUUCUAGGAUCACCGUAAUGAUUAAUAGGGUUAGUUGGGGGCAUUAGUAUUCAAUUGUCAGAGGUGAAAUUCUUGGAUUUAUUGAAGACUAACUUCUGCGAAAGCAUUUGCCAAGGAUGUUUUCAUUAAUCAAGAACGAAAGUUAGGGGAUCGAAGACGAUCAGAUACCGUCGUAGUCUUAACCAUAAACUAUGCCGACUAGGAAUCGGACGAAGUUAAUUUUUUAAUGACUCGUUCGGCGCCUUACG